GACGAACGCUGGCGGCGUGCUUAACACAUGCAAGUCGAACGGAAAGGCCCUGCUUUUGUGGGGUGCUCGAGUGGCGAACGGGUGAGUAACACGUGAGUAACCUGCCCUUGACUUUGGGAUAACUUCAGGAAACUGGGGCUAAUACCGGAUAGGAGCUCCUGCUGCAUGGUGGGGGUUGGAAAGUUUCGGCGGUUGGGGAUGGACUCGCGGCUUAUCAGCUUGUUGGUGGGGUAGUGGCUUACCAAGGCUUUGACGGGUAGCCGGCCUGAGAGGGUGACCGGACACAUUGGGACUGAGAUACGGCCCAGACUCCAACGGGAGGCAGCAGUGGGGAAUAUUGCACAAUGGGCGGAAGCCUGAUGCAGCAACGCCGCGUGUGGGAUGAAGGCCUUCGGGUUGUAAACCGCUUUCGCCUGUGACGAAGCGUGAGUGACGGUAAUGGGUAAAGAGGCACCGGCUAACUACGUG
RNAcentral lists this ribosomal RNA (468 nucleotides) under uncultured bacterium. RNAcentral's name for it is "partial 16S ribosomal RNA". It matches the Rfam family "Bacterial small subunit ribosomal RNA", at positions 28 to 507 of the family's 1533-position model. The record is from RNAcentral.